UGGGGAAUAUUGCACAAUGGGGGAAACCCUGAUGCAGCAAUGCCGCGUGUGUGAAGAAGGCCUGCGGGUUGUAAAGCACUUUCGAUAGGGAAGAUUAUGACGGUACCUAUAGAAGAAGCACCGGCUAACUCCGUGCCAGCAGCCGCGGUAAUACGGAGGGUGCGAGCGUUAAUCGGAAUUACUGGGCGUAAAGCGCGCGUAGGUGGCUAUGUAAGUCGGAUGUGAAAGCCCCGGGCUUAACCUGGGAACUGCAUUCGAUACUGCAUAGCUAGAGUAUGGAAGAGGGAAGUGGAAUUCCGGGUGUAGCGGUGAAAUGCGUAGAUAUCCGGAGGAACAUCAGUGGCGAAGGCGACUUCCUGGGCCAAUACUGACACUGAGGUGCGAAAGCGUGGGUAGCAAACAGGAUUAGAUACCCCCGUAGUCC
Molecule: ribosomal RNA, 424 nt
Filed under: uncultured prokaryote
Description: bacterial SSU rRNA
Rfam family: Bacterial small subunit ribosomal RNA
Source: RNAcentral